This 443-nucleotide ribosomal RNA is filed under the name uncultured bacterium. Its description in RNAcentral is "bacterial SSU rRNA". It matches the Rfam family "Bacterial small subunit ribosomal RNA", at positions 64 to 507 of the family's 1533-position model. The record is from RNAcentral.
GAGCGGUAUUGUUUCUUCGGAAACGAGAGAGCGGCGCACGGGUGCGGAACACGUGUGCAACCUGCCUUUAUCUGGGGGAUAGCCUUUCGAAAGGAAGAUUAAUACCCCAUAAUAUUUUGAAUGGCAUCAUUUAAAAUUGAAAACUCCGGUGGAUAGAGAUGGGCACGCGCAAGAUUAGAUAGUUGGUAGGGUAACGGCCUACCAAGUCAGUGAUCUUUAGGGGGCCUGAGAGGGUGAUCCCCCACACUGGUACUGAGGCACGGACCAGACUCCUACGGGAGGCAGCAGUGAGGAAUAUUGGACAAUGGGUGAGAGCCUGAUCCAGCCAUCCCGCGUGAAGGACGACGGCCCUAUGGGUUGUAAACUUCUUUUGUACAGGGAUAAACCUUUCCACGUGUGGAAAGCUGAAGGUACUGUACGAAUAAGCACCGGCUAACUCCGUG